CCUACGGGAGGCAGCAGUGGGGAAUAUUGCACAAUGGGGGAAACCCUGAUGCAGCGACGCCGCGGGAGUGAAGAAGUAUUUCGGUACGUAAAGCUCUAUCAGCAGGGAAGAAAAUGACGGUACCUGACUAAGAAGCCCCGGCUAACUACGUGCCAGCAGCCGCGGUAAUACGUAGGGGGCAAGCGUUAUCCGGAUUUACUGGGUGUAAAGGGAGCGUAGACGGCAGUGCAAGUCUGGAGUGAAAUCCCAUGGCUUAACCAUGGAACUGCUUUGGAAACUGUGCAGCUAGAGUGCAGGAGAGGUAAGCGGAAUUCCUAGUGUAGCGGUGAAAUGCGUAGAUAUUAGGAGGAACACCAGUGGCGAAGGCGGCUUACUGGACUGUAACUGACGUUGAGGCUCGAAAGCGUGGGGAGCAAACAGGAUUAGAUACCCGAGUAGUC
RNAcentral lists this ribosomal RNA (440 nucleotides) under uncultured bacterium. Its description in RNAcentral is "partial 16S ribosomal RNA". It matches the Rfam family "Bacterial small subunit ribosomal RNA", at positions 338 to 795 of the family's 1533-position model. The record is from RNAcentral.